GAUGAACGCUAGCUACAGGCUUAACACAUGCAAGUCGGGGGAAACGAUAUUGGAAGCUUGCUUCCGAUAGGCGUCGACCGGCGCACGGGUGAGUAACGCGUAUCCAACCUGCCCACCACUUGGGAAUAACCUUGCGAAAGUAAGACUAAUGCCCAAUGAUAUCUCUAGAAGACAUCUGAAGGAGAUUAAAGAUUUAUCGGUGAUGGAUGGGGAUGCGUCUGAUUAGCUUGUUGGCGGGGUAACGGCCCACCAAGGCGACGAUCAGUAGGGGUUCUGAGAGGAAGGUCCCCCACAUUGGAACUGAGACACGGUCCAAACUCCUACGGGAGGCAGCAGUGAGGAAUAUUGGUCAAUGGGCGAGAGCCUGAACCAGCCAAGUAGCGUGCAGGAUGACGGCCCUAUGGGUUGUAAACUGCUUUUAUAAGGGAAUAAAGUUAGUCUCGUGAGACUUUUUGCAUGUACCUUAUGAAUAAGGACCGGCUAAUUCCGUGCCAGCAGCCGCAGUAA
Molecule: ribosomal RNA, 507 nt
Filed under: uncultured bacterium
Lineage: Bacteria
Description: partial 16S ribosomal RNA
Rfam family: Bacterial small subunit ribosomal RNA
Source: RNAcentral